Molecule: long non-coding RNA, 1737 nt
Organism: Coturnix japonica (Japanese quail)
Lineage: Eukaryota; Metazoa; Chordata; Aves; Galliformes; Phasianidae
Source: Ensembl
AUUUUAGGGUUCCUGAACCUGAUCCUAUGGGUCGGCGGCUGCUGGUUCGUCUAUAAGGAGACCCCGUUCCAUCGCCCCCCAUCUGCCGGCCCCACAACCGCCCCCGGUGCCAUAUAAACCCCCCCCCCAGCCCCAUAAGUGUGGGGCAGCCCCACUCCGUGACCCCAAAUGGGGGCACCGCUGUCAGCACUGCCUUCUUUUGUAUCCUAUGGGGUGAUUUGGGGUCGCUGUGGGGUGGGGGCUGCUAUGGGGCAGAGAUGCUAUGGGGCAGAGUGGCUAUGGGGUCAGGUUGCUAUGGGGUUGGGGCUGCUAUAGGGCAGAGUGGCUAUGGGGCAGAGCUGCUAUGGGGUUGGGGCUGCUAUAGGGCAGAGUGGCUAUGGGGUGAGGCAGUGGGGUGGGGGCUGCUAUGGGGUACAGCUGUUAUGGGGUCAGGCUGCUAUGGGGUGGGGGCUGCUAUAGGGCAGAGCUGCUAUGGGGUAGAGCUGUUAUGGGGUCAGGUUGCUAUGGGGUUGGGGCUGCUAUGGGGCAGAGUGGCUAUGGGGUCGGGUUGCUAUGGGGCAGAGCUGCUAUGGGGUUGGGUCUGCUAUGGGGUGGGGGCUGCUAUGGGGCAGAGUGGCUAUAGGGUCAGGCUGCUAUGGGGUUGGGUCUGCUAUGGGGUGGGGGCUGCUAUAGGGCAGAGCUGCUAUGGGGUAGAGUGGGUAUGGGGUCAGGCUGCUAUGGGGUGGGGGCUGCUAUAGGGCAGAGUGGCUAUGGGGUCAGGUUGCUAUGGGGUGGGGGCUGCUAUGGGGUGGGGGCUGCUAUAGGGCACAGUGGCUAUGGGGCAGAGCUGCUAUGGGGUCAGGUUGCUAUGGGGUGGGGGCUGCUAUGGGGCAGAGUGGCUAUGGGGCAGAGCUGCUAUGGGGUUGGGGCUUCUAUAGGGUGGAGUGGCUAUAGGGUCAGGUUGCUAUGGGGUCAGGUUGCUAUGGGGUUGGGGCUGCUAUAGGGCAGAGUGGCUAUAGGGUCAGGCUGCUAUGGGGUUGGGGCUGCUAUGGGGUCGGGCUGCUAUGGGGUGGGGGCUGCUAUAGGGCAGAGCUGCUAUGGGGUAGAGCUCUUAUGGGGUCAGGCUGCUAUGGGGUCAGGUUGCUAUGGGGUUGGGGGCUGCUAUAGGGCACAGUGGCUAUGGGGCAGAGCUGCUAUGGGGUUGGGUCUGCUAUGGGGUGGGGGCUGCUAUAGGGCAGAGCUGCUAUGGGGUAGAGUGGCUAUGGGGCAGAGCUGCUAUGGGGUCGGGUUGCUAUGGGGUGAGGGAUGCUAUGGGGUAGAAUGAUUAUGGGGUCAGGUUGCUAUGGGGUGGGGGCUGCUAUAGGGCACAGUGGCUAUNGCUAUGGGGUAGAAUGAUUAUGGGGUCAGGUUGCUAUGGGGUGGGGGCUGCUAUAGGGCACAGUGGCUAUAGGGUCAGGCUGCGAUGGGGUUGGGGCUGCUAUAGGGCAGAGCUGUUAUGGGGUAGAGUGGUUAUGGGGCAGAGCUGCUAUGGGGUUGGGGUUGCUAUAGGGCAGAGUGGCUAUAGGGUCAGGUUGCUAUGGGGUUGGGGCUGCUAUGGGGUGGGGGCUGCUAUGGGGUAGAGUUACUAUGGAGAACGGUUGUUAUGGGGUGGGAGAAGCUAUGGGGCGGGGGCUGCUAUGGGGCAGUGAUGUGGCACUGAGGUCGGGUUAUGGGGUUGGGUUGGUGUGUGGGGUUGGGAUUAGGAUUGGGAUUAGGAUU